This 1686-nucleotide long non-coding RNA is filed under the name Apis mellifera (honey bee). Its description in RNAcentral is "uncharacterized LOC100578438, transcript variant X3". Lineage: Eukaryota; Metazoa; Arthropoda; Insecta; Hymenoptera; Apidae. The record is from RNAcentral.
CGAUGAAUUCGCGUCACGUAGGAGCCGCGUGUGGGAAAACGUGGAACAAUACGCGCGCUUACGGCUAUGACGAACCCUGCCUGCCAUUGUUAUGGUAAAGAAACGUCUCUUUCUUUCUCUCUCUCUCUGUCUCUGUCUCCCUUCCUUCUCCUGUUGUCGCUUUAAUCACCGGCAACCGCCGCAACUCACCAAAGAGCGAUCGACGUGGAACGCGCGCAACCUUUCCUCUCCUAUUCGGUUCCGUGAUUUUUGAAAUUAUUCCGACGAUACACCUGCCGCCUCUCCUUUCUUCUCUCUCUCUCUUUCCCCCCCUCUUUUCUUAUUCUUCCUCCUUUUCCGACACGCCGCCAACGCCGCCACGUCGAUCGCUCGCCACCGAUCGAUUGAAUUUGAAUCGAAUUUGCCUGGGUUUCGAUUAAAUGUGCGAUACGUACGCGGUUAACGUAACGAGGUUAUACGUUCAGUCUACUUCGACACGAGUUCAUCGACCUAACCUAUAUAUAUAUUUAUUUCGUUUAAAGCUUCUUCGAAAUUUUAUUCUCUUUCUAUUCCAGAUAUUUGCAUUAUUCUAGCGAAUAAUAAUAGGUUUAUUGAAAUACAGAGACGAGUACGAAGCUGACUUCACAGUGAUUCCAAGAUAAUGAUUCAUUAUCGAUUAGAGAUUCAACGAGUGCUACUCGUGACUUGGCCAUUGCUAUCUUUCGAUGAUUAAAUUAAUCAUCCGACGAUUACGAUUGUUUGAAUAUGCGAGAAAGAAAAGUUUGAAAGAAGAAGAUGAAGUCGUCACAAUGGUGCUUUGGUGUUUCCAUGAAUAGCCGCAAGAUGUUCCAGAAGAAAGGAGGAAACGUUCAAGGAGGAAGCAGACAGAUGUCGCCAAAAAGAAAGAAAAUGGAGGACGAUGGUUAUUCAUGGAUUUAUUAAAUUCAAAUUCAAUAUCGCAAUCACCCCUUUACCAUCAGGGAGGAACAGGAAGAAGAGAAAGAAGAAGAAGAAGAAAGAAAAGGCUUCAAAAGAGCAACCAUCUGUACGUAUCUGUAUAUACAUAUACAUUCCAAAAUAACAAUAUACAGAAUUAUACAAUUUUUCAAAUGGGACAAACUCAAGAUUAAUCCAAUCCAAGAUCAAGAGAUCAAAUAAUUCACCUAUGAUUAUUUAUCAUCAUCAAUCAAAAUUAUACAUAGCAACAAAAUUCUCCAAGAAUGGAGAAGCAAAAAGGAAUGUUUUCUCAUAGAAGGAACGAGGAGAACAGCGGAAGGCGGAAGAAGCGUUUGAAGAGGAAGUGAAAGAGGAAUUGGCGAGGGAAGAAAAACAAGGAAGGAAAUGGGAUCGCGAGAGGACCACUUAUUUUAGGCCCCUGUUUCGCAGAAGCGGAGGAAUGGAAUACACGUUUCUUUGAGAGGAUGGCAAUGAUUAUUUAAUGAAUUAAACGAGCUACGAGAUAUAUCAACAGAGAAGGAUGGAAAAUGAUUUUUCUGCUUUAUCUUUUUACCUGAAGUUUCUGGAUAACAUUAUAUAUGUAAGGUGGGAAAUUUAAGCGUGGUUAUUUAUGGCCUAUUUGUGCAAGCUCGAGCAGAUAUGUUAUCUUAAUUUUUACCACUUCUCAGUGUAUUUUGUUACAAGAUAACAACUUGAAAUACGAGUUAAAACGUUGUUUAAAUCUCUUCCUGCAAAUUGAAAAUAAUAAUA